CCUACGGGAGGCAGCAGUGGGGAAUAUUGCACAAUGGGGGAAACCCUGAUGCAGCGACGCCGCGUGAGUGAAGAAGUAUUUCGGUAUGUAAAGCUCUAUCAGCAGGGAAGAAGAAAGACGGUACUUGAUUAAGAAGCCCCGGCUAACUACGUGCCAGCAGCCGCGGUAAUACGUAGGGGGCAAGCGUCAUCCGUAUUUACUGGGUGUAAAGGGAGCGUAGGCGGUUGUGCAAGUCUGAGGUGAAAGCCCAGGGCUCAACCCUGGGAGUGCAUUGGAAACUGUGGAACUAGAGUGCUGGAGAGGUAAGUGGAAUUCCUGGUGUAGCGGUGAAAUGCGUAGAUAUAAGGAGGAACACCAGUGGCGAAGGCGGCUUACUGGUCAGUAACUGACGUUGAGGCUCGAAAGCGUGGGGAGCAAACAGGAUUAGAUACCCUUGUAGUC
This 441-nucleotide ribosomal RNA is filed under the name uncultured bacterium. RNAcentral's name for it is "partial 16S ribosomal RNA". It matches the Rfam family "Bacterial small subunit ribosomal RNA", at positions 338 to 795 of the family's 1533-position model. The record is from RNAcentral.